GGGAGGUUAGUUGCGUAACCAAAUAAACUGCUACAGCGGGUCUCUGAUGAGUGACAACAGUGUGGCCGUGCUGAAAGUCGGUGUACCUCUUACCCACAUCCGAAUGAUCAGACGUAAAGGUUUGGAAAGAAAAUCCUCAGCCAUAAAAUGUGGGCCAUCGAGGAAAAGCUCAGGCCGUAGCCUACACUUCAACAGAUGAACUGGUCUUCGUCUGAGAGAAGUCGCCUUGCCGAAACUAUGUUGAACUCUCAAUAAGAAGAUCAUGACUGGCAUUGCUACAUGGGUUUCAUACAAGAAGCGGUCGAGCGCUGUAAAAAGAAAGAAGCUCUUGAAAUUUCUAUUCACCUUCCACGAACCAUUAUACAGGAGGCCUACAGGCUUAAUUUCCUGAGGGCCAUGGAGCAUAAGACGAGCCAGGCCCGUACCGAAACCUUUGUUCAAAUUCUAAGCAUACUGCGAAUCGCCUGCUUCUUGGCCAAUGCUCCAUAGUGUGUAUGCGCCAGUACUUCGAAGGCAAGCUUUAAUAUUGUCACCGUCUGCAAUGUGGGAAAAAGUGGACGCUGAUGGCGGCCUUGGAGACGAUGAAGACGAGUUUAGGUCCUUUUUUCGCUGCUCUAUGCAUGUUGGCUCCGCCAUUAAAAGCCAUCUGUACGCUUC
Long non-coding RNA from Dermacentor albipictus, 657 nucleotides. RefSeq lists it as uncharacterized. The record is from RefSeq and is a predicted model, not a curated record. NCBI's taxonomy places the organism in Eukaryota, Metazoa, Arthropoda, Arachnida, Ixodida, Ixodidae.